This 668-nucleotide ribosomal RNA is filed under the name bacterium. Its description in RNAcentral is "bacterial SSU rRNA". It matches the Rfam family "Bacterial small subunit ribosomal RNA", at positions 761 to 1422 of the family's 1533-position model. The record is from RNAcentral.
GUGGGGGAGCGGAACAGGAUUAGAUACCCUUGGGUUGUCCACCCCGUAUACGAUGAGUGCUAAGUGUUUAGGGGGGUUUCCCGCCCCUUAGUGCUGCAGCUAACGCAUUAAGCACUCCGCCUGGGGAGUACGGUCGCAAGACUGAAACUCAAAGGAAUUGACGGGGGCCCGCACAAGCGGUGGAGCAUGUGGUUUAAUUUGAAGCAACGCGAAGAACCUUACCAGGUCUUGACAUCCUCUGACAACCCUAGAGAUAGGGCUUUCCCUUCGGGGACAGAGUGACAGGUGGUGCAUGGUUGUCGUCAGCUCGUGUCGUGAGAUGUUGGGUUAAGUCCCGCAACGAGCGCAACCCUUGAUUUUAGUUGCCAGCAUUCAGUUGGGCACUUUAAGGUGACUGCCGGUGACAAACCGGAGGAAGGUGGGGAUGACGUCAAAUCAUCAUGCCCCUUAUGACCUGGGCUACACACGUGCUACAAUGGACAGAACAAAGGGCUGCAAGACCGCAAGGUUUAGCCAAUCCCAUAAAUCUGUUCUCAGUUCGGAUCGCAGUCUGCAACUCGACUGCGUGAAGCUGGAAUCGCUAGUAAUCGCGGAUCAGCAUGCCGCGGUGAAUACGUUCCCGGGCCUUGUACACACCGCCCGUCACACCACGAGAGUUUGCAACACCC